This 22191-nucleotide long non-coding RNA is filed under the name Sorghum bicolor (sorghum). RNAcentral's name for it is "long non-coding RNA (SBIC_LNC015656)". Lineage: Eukaryota; Viridiplantae; Streptophyta; Magnoliopsida; Poales; Poaceae. The record is from RNAcentral.
AGCAGACUUCAUGGUGAUAGAGACUGAUACUGAUGAGAGGGCACCCAUCAUCCUAGAGAGGCCAUUCCUGAACACCUCGGGAGCUGUCAUCUACGCUAGUGCUGCCAAGAUCAGUUUCUACAUCAAGGGGAAGAAGGAGACGUUUUCCUUCAAGAAACAAGACUACACAAAUCCCAGAGCAAUCCUGACAUGAACCAAGGAAGAGGACCAACAGGAGGAACAAGAACAAGCAAAUGUGUACCGAGUCAGCUAAGAUGGUCACUGCAGCUCAAGGAGGUCAAGAUCGUCAACUCAAGUCACCUUUCUUGAUCAAGAAGGACGACCCUGGUGUCCCAAGCAUCGAGUGCACAAUCAACGGAUAUUCUUUUCAGAAGACACUCUACGACACCGGAUCUAACGUCAACAUAAUGGCCGCAGUCACUUAUCAGCUCCUGCAUGGAACCAUGUCCCUACAACCAACAUACAUUCAGCUCCAGAUGGCAGAUCAGACAUUCUGAAAGAUUGAAGGUUAUUGACAUGGGAGAAGACGAGUACGAUCCACCCAUCAUCCUUGGAAGACCGUUCUUUAGCACCAUUAAAGCAAUCAUAUACAUUGGAACCAGAGAAGUCCACAUGCACUUCCCCUCAAAGAAGGUACGCCACUGUUUUACUAACCCUAACUAUAUAGUUGACGACUCUAAGCAGGUCAGGACAAGAAGAAGACGACGCAACUGCAACCAGAGGAGGCAAAUUAUCAAGGACGGAUGGGUAGACUAUGAAGGAGAAGUUCUAAGGUCUGAAGACAUACAACUUGAACAGAACUAUCCUGAGGAGACCGUAGCACCGAGUCAGGUGUGUAGAGAGAAGAUAGUUAUACAUGAAGAGCAGGCGCCGCCAGAACCACCGACUACGCCAUCCAGCGAAUCCCAGGACGACUGAGAAAACGGCGGGUCCCGUUCGGAGGACUUAAAAACACCGAACGCCUUGCCAAGAGGUAAACUUGGUAGUUAUCUUUUUCCUUUCAAUUAUUUAAAAUAGUUUGCUUAGUUAAUCAGGUUCAUGCUAUCUUGAAAAGAAAAUAAAAAUGUUAAAAAUCAUAAGCCCCAUGUGAGUAUGCUCAUGGCAUAAAACCCAUAAGAACAUUCACUGUGGUGGCGUAAAAAUAAAAUAAAUAUAUUCCUGUCCUAUAAAAAUAAAAUUAUAAAAAUAAAUUUAUGAUCCUACUAAAGAGCAUAACAUUUAUUGAGGAGGCUCAACAUGAUAAAGGCUAGAUAUUUAUGCUAACACUUAACUAGUUCCACAAAGCUUUGUUGUCUAUUUGAGCUCCACAGAAUUCAAGGAUCAAAGAAGACUAGCAGAUGGAGGACAUCCUAAUCGCUGUCAGGGUGCUGCCGACAUUCAAAUACACUUCCACCACUUGCUAGCUACAUCAGAAGAAAUUACGUCAAAAAUCUAGCUUGUGGGAGAGCACCCCCAUUUAUCCAGCUAAGUAUUCUACUCACGUUUAUAGUUUACUCUAAUAGUAAAAAGAUGCAUAAUCAUAAAAACUCAAAUAAAGAUUUUGUGCUUAUAUAUAUAUCUUUGCUUAGUUUGCUAAAUAAAAAAAUAAAUAAAGUUUGCUAUGAACCCUCAUGAUAAGCUCUCACAUGGAAAUGAUGUAUAGUUGCUCGGCCAUGACUAGUUCUAAAAAUUGAAAUCUCUCUCAAGUUUAGGCAUGACUGUUAUUAAUUAAGAUUUGCUCUAAACCGGAACUUGUGAGGAGAGUACUUGAUCUGAAGUCUAAGUCGUUAACGGAUAUGAUAUGGGAAGGUUGAGCUGCUGUUUAUCUGUUCCUAGAGAUGCUAGAAUUCUGGAGAAUUUUAUCUUUGAAAAUCUUUAAAAUGUUGCAUGAUGAGUUCCUGUAUGAUGAGAGUUUAAAUUCCUACCACAGCCAUAUAUACAUGCUUGUUAGACUAUGAACCACACAUUUACUUUUUACUGCUUAUGAGCAUUGAGUGUGGUCAAGCUGUGUAGACCCUUAGGAGCUUGUCAUGUGGUUAAAUCAAGAUUCACUUGUACGUUCACUCACACAUGCUACUUCUACUCCAGAAGUACCAUCCACAUAUAUCCAUCCAUUUCCAUCUCAAGAACCACCCAAAAAUAUUCUACUUCUAAUCCGGGAGAGAAUAGCCAAAAACAUUCUCCUAUUUCUGUUUUUCCCCUUUGAAAUAAAUGCUCAAGUUAUCUUGUUACUACCACUUGCUAUAUUAUCUCAUGAGAUGAGUGCUCUAAAAAAACGAAGAAAAAAAAGAAAAAAAAUAUAUAUACGAGGAAAUAAAAAGGGGCAAGUGCCCUGAACCUCGAAGAAAAGAAAAAGUGAGACGAGAGGUAAAAAUGGACAAGUGUCCGAUAGUAGAAUUAGGGGUACAAGAUACCCACCUGAGAGAAAAGAAAAAGAAAACAUUGAGCAUCUCAUUCUCCUCAAAAAGUUUCAAAAGUGCAAGAAAGGUAUGUAUCCCCUCAAAAGAGCAUAAGUAGAAUUAGACUUUCACCAUUGUUAUCACCAUCAUUACCAUGCAUCAUUCAUUCGCCACACAUGCACAUCUUGAUUUGACUUAUUGACUUGUUCUUCUGGAUCCAUGGUUUGACUAUGCAAUAAAUGUCUUGUAAGUAUGUAUUAGCUGUCUCCCACCUAUGAGCUCCAGAUAUCAAAAGCCUUAUUAGAGUAGGGUGAGAGAGAAGGCAAUGUCAUUAUGCCUCAUACCAAUAAUACCACAUACUUUGAGAGAAGGCAUACACCAUUACUGCCUUGGUAAGGAUCCAGAAAUACCACAAAAGAGAGACUUGAGAGAGUCAUACAAGGAAUCUCUGAGUUUUAUUUGAAAAUCUGCAAAAACUCCAGAGCUAUAGUUGAUCAAGAACAUGAGACAUGGUGCUUGACUAGACUGUUCUAUCUUUUAACUACUCAAGACAGAAGUGACGGUUAUAAGUCCCAUGGUGAAAGGUAAAUGAGUAAGUUUUAAGUCUUAACAGUUUACUCUAACCAGAGAUGAGACCUUGUUUAAACGCAUGUGUAUCUUUAAGUUAUGAAACCACUGCAGAAACUCUUGAGUUCAUCUUUGCUCAGGGACGAGCAAAGGUUAAGCUUGGGGGAGCUUGUUGACGGUCCUUAAUGCUCAUAUUUAACCAUCAAUUAAUCAUAGAAAAGGAUCCAAAUGCAACCAACACCUAGACUUAGGGUUUUAUCUAACAGAAUUCCACGAGUUUUGGUGUUUGUCUAUUUCUGCAGGGGGUUAUCAGGAAAUAUGGAGGAAUGGCCCACACGUCGGGUUUACAUAGAGAUAUUAACGUGCCGUGCAAUUUUCUAUCAUCUAGAAGACUCCAGAAGCCACGGGACCGAAGCGGAAGCCGAGAGGCCUCAGGGACAGGGCGCCCGCCCUAGUCCUGAGGGCGCCCGCCCUCCCCCCUGGACCAAUCAGGGUGAAGUUCGGGGAUCAUGCUCCACCGACCUAAUACUUCAAGGAAAACCACACGAUCAAUGUCGGUUUGAUCCGACGGCCCAGAUUCACUUGAAGGGACUAUAAAACCAGACCCCCCUGGCCCCUGGAGAUCAUACCUCUUCUACAGAAUCAAAGCUAGGGUUUCAAUUCUUCAUCCAAGUAGAGAGGAUCCCUCUAGUUCUUCUAGUUCUACCUCUAGUUCAUCUAGAUCUAGUUCUAGUUCAUCUAGUUCUAGUUCUAGUUCCUCUAGUUCUAGUUCUAGUUAGUUCUAGUUGUAAUCUAGAAAAUAGGGAGAGAGAAGAGGAGAGCGGAGGAGGAGCCGGAUCUGUCGGAUCUUCCUCAACAUUGUACUUUUGCAGCAACUGGUUAGUCCUUCAUCGUUCUCCAGGUUCUUCAAUUCAUAACUCCUGAGUUCUCUAAUUACUUUUAUUUACAUUCAAGUUAUUUAUUGGAUUCCCGCUUGCAUCAAGUGCUCUAGUCUUUGAAACAUUAGAGUAAUAAUUAAUAGAUUAGACGUGGUGUUUAGUCUUGCAAUUACCUGGAAUUGCACCCAAUCCUACGGAUUGUUGUGGUAGCCCUAGGGUAGUGACAGCCCUAACGGUCGACGUAUUCCACCACGUUCGGAUCGGUGUUUGUAGGACCGUAGUCAGACCUUCCUAGCCCCCUUCUCAUCUCUUUCUGUGGUUAGUGCUCUGAUGUCCCGAUAUAGAUAAUCUUGAAGUAAUUCUUGAUUCUAAGAUCAACUAGAGAACUCUCAGGAAACUUCCUCUCUUCCCACCAAAAAUAUUCAUAUAGUUAUCCUUGGGCGAUCUUGGAUCUUAAUUAGUACACUCACGUUCCUUGUGGAAAAUCGAUACUCUGGAAUACUCCCGGGUGAAGGCUACAUCGGUAUCCGUGCGCUUGCGGAUUUUUUCUGUUUGCGUUUAAAAUACCCAACAUAUAGUCGGUGGCAUACAUACGUGCACUCUUUAUACGCAACUAUACGGUCUACACGUUUCGUUGUUAGGGUACCUGCAAAAGAUUUCAUUUCAGUCCAGCCCCACAUUAGUAUAUGUGCAGGAAUGUAAAUCCAAUCAUUAGCAAUCAAGCUACGUACUCCGAUAUAUAUUCCCAAACAUAUAUCGCAGCACACUGUCCAUUUUGGAUACACCCACAUAUACAUCAAAUAUGUAUACAUGGCUGUACCUACUACCCACAAUUAAGUACCUUCAUAUAUACAUGUGUGAAACAUGUAAAUAUUCCAGUAACCACAACUAACACUCCCCUAGACCGACGGUUGGACGGUCAUGCUCUCACAGCUCACACUUACCGUAGCGUAGAGGCAUUUAGAUCCAUACAUUACCACUCAAGCAAGUGGCAUCCAUACAAUUUCACGCCGUAUGGACGACGAAAGAAAACAAACACGCUUACCAUGGCGUAGAGGUAUGUGAUCCAUUCAUUACCACUUAAGUAAGCGGUAUCCAUAUAAUUUCACGCCACAUGGACGACGAGAGGAAAAACCCCCAUGUUAGUAAUAUUAAGCCACCUAGAAGUCCUUAUAUGGGCAUAAAGGGUACGACCACUGGCAUGGUAUAAGUUAUUAAAAUAUUUUUAAAACAGACCUACAUAUAGCCUAAUUUUGCCAAAUUAGCUUGGGAAAACCAAAUUCAUUUGUUUUUAAAUACAUCUAUGAUGGUUAAAUGCUUAAUUUUGCUUUGAUGCCAGCUGUAACAGAACCGUCCAAUUUAUAAGAAUUCAAGUGAAUUAGUGACCACUGAGGCAGUCAAGCCAAUGGACUUGAGCCCAUAUAAACCCGGUAGUCCGACGAAAUCUCAAAAGACCUCGAUUCAACCAACAUACAACCAAGAUCGUACAUGAUCAAGCAUCACCAUCACAGAUUACAACAUUCAACACAGAACAUAGUUUUACAUCACAUCAGAGUUUAAAAGAGGUUAUUACAAACCAUAGCAGUAGCGGAAACAAAGUAGUUUUGAAACAACUCCAACUCAGUUUAUAAUACAUGCCAGUUCCAUGGUCAAGUCCCAACAAAAGCAUAACUGAAGGUAGAAGAGUGAUCACGCCCAUGAUCUAUUCAUCAUCCGCAGCUGGGUGAUGACAGUUAGCGCAAUAGCCGUGAUAGACGACAUCAUCUGCAACAGGGGUAAAUAAAACACUGAGUACGAGAAUGUACUCAGCUAGGCUUACCCGUCACAAACCAGAAAUAAAGUGACACCAAGGAGUAUGCAAGGCUGAUCUUUGUGGACUGGUUUGACUCACCUUUUGCAUAAAAGCCUUUGUUGUAAGUAAUUCAUUUAUCACAUUUCAGCAGCAGGUUCAUUGCUUAGCAACUAUCCACUAGAUUAGCACCUGUUCUAAGCAUACACUUGAGUUUUUAAUCAUUACAAUAAUAACCAUAUCCGGAUUAUCACAUAGCCAUCAUCAUUCUCAUCAUAACCAUUAAGUUUAUUUAGUGAAUUCUACGUUGCCGCUGCCCAAGUCAAGUUCUCACUAUCCGAGAGAGACGGCGAUUCGAAUCGAUUCCUAUCCAGCUGGAGGGGUAUUCCUAACACUCACCCAAGCAUACUUCAUGACGGCAGCUCGGAUCACCUUUAGCACAACUCCGGACCAAUUCGCGGAUCCGUCCAGCGCCGCACCCCCAGGGACCGCCAAUCUGCCAGGGUCAGGACUCUAACCUGACACCUCGGUCUUACGCCAUUGACUCCCCGCACAUCCUUGCUACCAACCGGGGUGCGCACUCAUACAGAACGGGCUAUCCGGCCUGAGUUGCACUCGUAGGCUUCACGGUCGGAACGACUUAUCCGGCCAACUAAGUGAUAGGCAUGCGUUCAACAUGACACGGGGACGUACAGCGAUUCGGUCCUUAAACGACACAGACGGGGAUAGAUUCACACCCAAGACCUCCAUGCCUUGUUGCUGCACUAUCGUCAUCCCGCCCGGUCUCAAGUUCAUUUUUAGCACCUGGUUAUCUCCACGAUAGCAAAUAUAGCCAACCGUGAUCAUCAUCCACCUAACUCUCGCAGGUGACAGGAAAUCACCCGGCUUCUACCGAGCUAAGCAUGGCUAAGCAUUACUUCGAUCCUGGACCUACUUUGGUAAUGUUUGAGGUGGACAAGGUAGUCAUUAUGCAGCAAGGGUGUCAUAUCAAUGCCUACCACUUAAUGCAACAAUAUAUAACCAUAGUCAUUUGAUAGCUGAACAUGAUAACAAAAUAGUAGGAGGCUUAUAAUGCUCCGGGGCUUGCCUUCGACGUAUGUAGAGGGACGAUGGUCAGGGCACUCCGGCAAGUCCUCCUCCUCCUCAGCUCCUUGAGGUAGCUCCCCUUGCUGUCCUUCCGGCUCCGGCAACUCGAACUCCAGCACCAUCACUCCCUUGGGUACACCUAUGUAUGCAUGACAAGGAGAUGAAUAUAGAGAAUGCACAUAUGAUGUAUGAUGCCAAGAUGAGGAGCCAAAGGAACAUAAAACAAGGUAUAACAUGAGCAUAAACUUCUAAGAUUAAGUGAAUCAUGGAAAAACAAGUAGGUGCAUACUUCUUCUCUGGUAGAGAGACUAAAUAGACAAGUUAUACGAAUUUUAGCUACUCCUACUCAGCCACUGGUUUAGUAGACAACCAACUUGUCCCAAGUUUCAGCCAUAACUUAGGCACCAGUUAACCAAACUAAGCACGUAAGUACUUUCUGGAAAGCUUAUAAAAUUGUCUACAAUUCACGUUUAGACAUCUCAGCAUGAUUCCCAACCGAAAUAUGCUAAAACAUACAAAGUUGGCUGGCUGCUCUGGAAAUUCCAGAGAGCAAGCACUUUGCAGCAGCUACUUGAAAUAUGCAUAACGUUCAAACUACUCAACCAAAUGCCAUGAAAUUUGGACACGAAGUAGAUCAGUAAGUUAGCUACAAGUUUGUUGUAGACAAGUUUCCCAGAAAAUAAGAUCUUUAAUUAGUUCUCAAGCAUUUGCUGUCAGCUACACAGAAAUGCUCUAGAAAAGGCAUAAAUAGCCAAAAAUAAUAUUUUGCACAAGUUGAGAAUGUAUCAAAGGAACAAUCCCAUUGCACUAGUAGAUAGAACAUAUCUAAGAAACACCAGGAAAAAUCAUGGCAAGGUCUAAAACUAUUUCUAUCAUCACCUUUUCCAUUUAUUUAAUUAUUAAGGUGAUUUAAUGAACAUAUACUCCAAGUGUUCCAAAAAUCGUAAGAAAAUUACAGCAAGCUACUUAUGCUAACAUAAGAUCACUGUAAAAUUUUCAGAACAUUUGCACAUACACAUUGUAAGAUAUAAAAAUAACAAGCUAGUAUAGGCAUGCAAGGCUUAAAUGUGAAACCUUAUCAAAAAGUGUCAAACAGCAGAUUUCAGAUUUUUCCUAACUUUUUCUACACAUAAGUACAACACUCUGCAAGUUUCAUCACCAAAGGAGUUAUAAAUUAAUUAUUAAAAAUACCACAAGAAACUCCUAUUUAAGCAAGAAUCAUUUUUAACUCCUCAACUAGGCUUCCAAAAAUAACGAUAAAUUUAUCAAAGACUACUCAUAACAUAAGUAACAACACCCUAAAUUUGCAUGUCCAGCAGAUCAAUAGAUUUCAAGAUAUAAUUACCCACUAAAAAUCCAAGAUUAAUUUAUAUCUAUUUAUAUCUGCAAAAACAUGGCAUGUUUCAUAUUUUUAUUAAAAACUAGACUCAUGCUGGAACCAAGCAAAAUUGGAGUCACUUAAUUUGGAUCUCUAAAACUCGAGAUAUGAAUUUUACAAAAACAGCACAGGAUCUGUAAACAGUGAACCAGAGGGGGGAAAACAGAGAGGCUGACACCCGGGACCCGCGCGUCAGUGAGACAGUGAUAGGAGAGAAGCUCGCCGCCGGCAAAGCUCAACGACGACGAGGUCUCCGUCGGAUCCAAGGGCAUCUACGUGUUCCUCUCAUCGAGGCGACUCUGUUGACCUACUUUACUCGCGCUCUACUGGACCCUAAGGUGCUCGCCGUCGGGAAUGGCGGAGCGGCGGCGCUGCGCGGCGUUACGCCGGCGGAUCCAGGCAAUGGCGACGCGGUAGAGCUUGCGGACGAGCAAGAGUGGCUCAAGGCGAAGCUAUAGGAAGAGGAAUCACGGCAAGAGGUGAACCAGAGAGGUCUGGCCACAUUGCCGGUGAUCUUUGUGAACUCUGGCGAGGUGGAGCUCGCGACGGAGAUGACAAUGUGACCUCACCGGUGCUCGGCUACGGGAAUGGAGUGGACGUCGAGGUAGAGGACGUCAAGGUGGAGCUCUGGGCGGGCUGGCUUGGCCGGAGGCGCGAUGAAACGGCCGGAGGAGCUCGCCGAAGCGCGGCGGAGCGCACCGAGGUGACGGCGGAGCGAAAUGUGCUGCGCUGAGCGAGUGGAGAGCACGUCUGAGGCGUCCACUCGGUGCGUGGCGACUUGGAGACGCCGUGGGAGCUGACAGGCGGGGUCGCCGUCGACGUACGGCCGACAGGUGGCCGGACACGCGGCGGCGGACGGUUCUGUCCAAACUGAAUCGAGCGAUUCAGUCGCCAUGGCCAGUGACUGAAACUCGAACUUUGUCAACAUUUUACUCUCAGCUCAAUCGGUGGUUUUGGCUGAGAUUUGAUCCUCUGGGUACAGCUACACGAGUUCUACAACUUUGAUUACACAAGCUCAGUCUAAAUCGGUCUGGAUUUCAAACUACUAAGCUUCAAACAACCCUAUGUCGAAACUGUGUGAUCCCAGACUUAGCCAAAUUUGGCUAAGUGUGAAAUCAGCCCUGAUUUUUGGUUUGUGAGCAAUUUUUGGAUGUGUUCUAAGCUUUUUCAUAAAAAUUCAUCAACAUAGCUUUUGUAGCUUAUGAAAUUCUUUACAACUUUGCUUCAGGUGUCACAGACAUGCAAGGUCUCUAACAUUACUUUCAUAAAACAUUUUUGAAAAGAGGUCUAGGGGGUCAAAAAGGUCAUUCUAGGGUUAACCAUGACUUAGGGGCAUUUUUGGCCAAAACCUUCAACAUGAACUUUGUUCCAAAUGAUAUUCUAAACAUGAUUGAGGUAUUUUGGAAGACAAUGUACAAUUUUUUGCAUUGGCUACCCCUUAUAGUCACUCAAUUCAAGUCACACAAGCAAUUUAAUCAUGUAGUGCAUAUAGCAAAUGGCAUGUGAUCAUGGUAUGAUGCUCAUGAGUGAUCAUGAUGAUGCUUAUGUUGAUGCAAUGCUCAUGGUUAACAUGCAAGCUAACACUAGGAGUGUUACACUAUUGCUUCUGUUGUUUUUUGUGUGGACUUCCUGGGCACACAUAUGGCUUGCCUGGUUUUUGUUCUUUAAAACCGGGUGUGACAAAGGUUGCAAUAAACCUGCAGGUUUAAGGUGAACUGCCUUUACCCUACAGUAAGUAUCACACCUAGCAACAUAAGCUGCUAUCUCCUUCUUCAUCUUGGUCCACCAGAAACGAGGUUUCAAGUCUUGGUACAUUUUGCUACUACCAGGAUGAAUGGACAACUAGGAAGAAUGGGCUUCAUCUAAAAUUUUGUUGCGUAGGUCACGGUCUUUAGGUACAACUAGUCAAUCGUCAAACCACAGUACACCCUUCUCAUCUACCCUGAAAUGCUUGGUGUCUUGCUCUUGCAUUUUUCUUUUGAUAUGGAAAAUACCAGGAUCAGACUUUUGGAGCUCUAUGAUUUGACUCUCUAACGAGCAACUGACUACGAUGUUGUGCAGGACCACAUGAUGCAACAAAUUGAAGCCUUCCUCUAGGAGAGGUCUAACAUGUUGUUUCCGACUGAGAGCAUCGGCUACAACAUUGGCUUUGCCUGGAUGAUCGUGUACUUCAACGUUAUAGUCCUUUAUCAAUUCCAACCAUCUUCUUUGUCUCAUGUUCAACUCGGGUUGUGUGAAGAUAUAUUUGAGGCGAUGAUAAUAUCCAGCUAGACCGAGAAAACUCUGAACUUCGUGCACUGAAGUCGAGGCCUUCCAGUCUGUUACCUCUUGCACUUUUGACGGGUCAACAGAAAUACCCUCUUCAGAUAAAAUAUGGCCUAGGAAAGGCAUUUUCUUCAGCCAAAACUCACACUUGCUGAACUUGGCAUAGAGCUGAUGUUCUCGCAGUCGAGUGAGUACUAUCCGAAGAUGCUUCUCAUGGUCUUGAGCAUUUUCAGAGUACACCAAAAUGUCAUCGAUGAACACUACCACAAACUUAUCCAGUUCAGGCAUGAACACCGAAUUCAUCAGGUACAUGAAAUGAGCAGGGGCAUUAGUCAGACCAAAGAACAUGACUAGAUACUCAUACAACCCAUACCUGGUAGAGAAAGCCGUUUUAGGAAUGUCUUCGGGUCAAAUCUUGAUUUGAUGAUACCCGGAUCUCAGAUCAAUCUUGGAGAAUACUUUUGCCUAUACAUAGAGUCUCAGCUGAAAUUCAGAUUACAUGUUCAUUACAUAAAGAGAUGGAACUGAUACAUGAGCAUGGGAACUAUUGCUAGGCUACAUAUCUUCCUCAGAUUCACCAUUAGAAAUUAUGCCGUCAUCCUGAUCUUCCUCACUAGGAGCUUCUUCAUGAUUAAAGGGAACAGGGUGCGGAAUAGGAUUUAUGAUAUUAUUUAGGCAAUGGACAUCUAACUGCAGCUCAGCAAUCCUAGUGAUCAGCUCUUUCUCUCUAAUCUCAGCAUGGAACAAAGCUCUAACUCUAGCAGCUUCUCUAUUCUCAGCCAAGCGCAUAGCCUCAUCUCGCUCUCUAGUCAUUUGCAUCAUGCGGGCUUGUGCCUCAUUGCGCUCUCUAACUGCAUUUUCAACUUGGUUGUGGCGGGCUUGCAAAGUGGUGUGAUAGUUUUGGAUUUCAGCUUGUGCAUCGCUAAAAGCCUUGCGGUGCUUGCGCGCGCGCUUGCGCAGUUUGCGCUGUCCAACUUGAGCUUGUUGGAGCGCUAGCAUGGCUUCUAUGUAGGUGUCCUGGCGUACAUAGUACAGCUUAAGUACCGCCAGCAUGGCACUCAUGGCAGGGCUAGAGCUAUAUCCUAGUAUGGUUUCUCUCAUCUCUAGAGGCUUAGUUCCUACUUGGGACACAAAAGUGUCAGUCACACUCACUCUAGGAAAUGAUCCAGCUGGGCCAUUAAUUAUCUCAUCCUAGCCACUGUGGGUUAUUUGGGCAAGGGGGAACUGUAAUUUUGACAUCUACCCAAGGUAAGGAUCUUGCAUGCUCAGCCUCGGUCCAAGUGUACUUAGGUGGUUCUUCAUAUCCCACUGAACUUAGCACCCUACACAAUAGGGUAGGAGUGCCAAACAUGUUCAGAAAAUUCUCACUUGCGUGUGGGGCUGCCAUCUGUAGGAAGACCACAAUUGAGUAAGGGAGAUUAAUAACAAGAAAAGGUAAAUAGAUAUAUUUUCAGAAUUUAAGACUUAAGUAGUGCAUAAAGAAUGUAUGAAUGAUUCAUGAUGCAUGCACGUUCCAUACGUCCUUUCCAUUCCUAGAAGAAGGUUCAAACGAUAUAGUCGGUGGCAUACAUACGUGCACUCCUUAUACGCAACUACACGGUCUACACGUUUCGUUGUUAGUGUACCUGCAGAAAAUUUCAUUUCAGCCCAACCCCACAAAAGUAUAUGUGCAGAAAUGAAAAUCCAAUCAUCUACAUUCAAGCUAGGUACUUCGAUAUAUAUUCCCGAACAUAUAUCGCAGCACACUACCCAUUUGGGAUACACCCACAUAUACAUCAAAUAUGUAUACAUGGCUGCACCUACUACCCACAAUUAAGUACCUUCAUAUAUACAUGUGUAAAACAUGUAAAUAUUCCAGUAACCACAACUAACACUCCCCUAGACCGACGGUUGGACGGUCAUGCUCUCACAGCUCACACUACCGUAGCGUAGAGGCAUAUAGAUCCAUACAUUACCACUCAAGUAAGUGGCAUCCAUACAAUUUCACGCCGUAUGGACGACGAAAGAAAACAAUCAUUGCUUACCAUGGUGAAGAGGUAUAUGAUCCAUUCAUUACCACUUAAGUAAGUGGUAUCCAUAUAAUUGCACGCCAUAUGGACGACGAAAGGAAAAACCCCCAUGUUAGUAAUAUUAAGCCACCAAGAAGUCCUUAUGUGGGCAUAAGGGUAUGACCACUGGCAUGGUAUGUGUUAUUGAAACAACUUAAAACAACCCUAUGUAUAGUAUAAUUUGCCAAUUAGUUUGAGAAAACAAAUUCAUUUGUUUUUAAAUACAUCUAUGAUGGUUAAAUGCUUAAUCUUGCUCCGAUGCCAGCUGUAACAGAACCGUCCAAUUUAUAAGAAUUCAAGUGAAUUAGCGACCACAAAGUAGUCAAGCCAAUGGACUUGAACCCAUAUAAACCCGGUAGUCCGAUGAAAUCUCAAAAGACCUCAAUUCAACCAACAUACAACCAAGAUCGUACAUGAUCAAGCAUCGCCAUCACAGAUUACAAACAUUCAUCACAGAACAUAGUUAUACAUCACAUCGGAGUUUAAACAAAGUUAUUACAAACCAGUUUAGUAGCGGAAGCAAAGUAGUUUGGAACAUCACACACACAGUUUUAUUACAUGCCAGUUCCAUAGUCAUCCCAACAAAAGCAUAACUGAAGAUAAGGAAGUUGAUCAUUCCCAUGAUCUAUUCAUCAUCCGCAGCCGGAUGAUGACAGUUAGCACAGUAGUCGUGAUAAACGACAUCAUCUGCAACAAGGGUAAAUAAAACCCUGAGUACGAGAAUGUACUUAGCUAGACUUACCCGUCAUAAACCAGAAAUAAAGUGACACCAAGGAGUAUGCAAGGCUGAUCUUUGUGGACUGGUUUGACUCACCUUUUUGUAUAAAAAGCUUUAGUUGUAAGUGACUUACUUUUAACAUUUCAGCAGUAGGUUUAUUACUUAACAACAACCCACAAGAUUAGCACCUGUUCUAAGCAUACACUUGAGUAUUUAAGCAUCACAAUAAUAACCAUAUCUGGAUUAUCACAUAGCUAUCAACAUUCUCAUCAUAACCAUUAAGUUUAUUUAGUGAGUUCUACGUUGCGACUGCCCGAGUCAAGUUCUCACUAUCCGGGAGAGACGGCGAUUCGAAUCGAUUCCUAUCCAGUUGGAGGGGUAUUCCUAGCACUCACCCAAGCAUGCUUCAUGAGGGCAGCUCGGAUCACCUUUAGCACAACUCCGGACCAAGUCUCGGGUCCGUACAGCACCGCACCCCUAGGGACCGCCAAUCUGCCAGGGUUAGGACUCUAACCUGACACCUCGGUCUUACGCCAUUGACUCCCCGCACAUCCUUACUACCAACCGGGGUGGGCACUUAAACCGAACGGGGUAUCCGGCCGGAGAUGCACUCGUAGGCUUCGUGGUCGGAACGACUUAUCCGGCCAGCUAAGUGUUAGGCAUGCGUUCAACAUGACACGAGGACAUUACAGCGAAUCGGUCCUUAAUUGACACAGACGGGGAUAGAUUCACACCCAAGACCUCCAUGCCUUGUUGCUGCACUAUCGUCAUCCCGCCCGGUCUCAAGUUCAUUAUUAGCACAUGGUUAUUCCACGAUAGCAAAUAUAGCCAACCGUGAUCAGCAUCCACCUAACUCUCGCAGGUGACAAGAAAUCACCCGGCUUCUACCGAGCUAAGCUUGGCUAAGCAUUAUUUUCGAUCCUGGACCUACUUAGGUGAGGUAUGAGGUGGUCAAGGUAGUCAUUAUGCAGCUAGGGUUUCAUAUCAACGCCUACACUUAGUGCAACAAUACAUAAACAUAGUCAAUUGAUAGCGGGAUAUGAUAUAAAAAAUAGUAGGAGGCUUAUAAUGCUAGGGGGCUUGCCUUCAAUGUAAGUAGAGGGACGGUGGUCAGGGCACUCCGGCAGAUCCUCCUCCUCAGCUCCUCGAGGUGGCUCCGCUUGUUGUUCCUCCUCAGCUCCUCGAGGUGGCUCCGCUUGUUGUCACUCCCUCGGGCAGUUCGUACUCCACCUAUGUAUGCAUGACAAGGUGAUAAAUAUAGGGAAUGCACAUAACAUGCAAUAUGUCGUGAUGCUGAGCCAAGGAAUACACAACAAAGUAUAAACAUGGGCAUAAACUCCUAAAAUUAAGUGAAUCAUAGAAUAACAAGUAAGUGCAUACUUCUUCUCUGGUAGAGAGGCUAACUAGACAAGUUAAUCAACCUUAGCUACUCCUACUCAGUCACUGGUUUUAUAGACAGACCAACUUGUCAAACGUUUCAGCUAUAACUUAAGCAUCAGUUGGCCAAACUAAACAAUUAGAUACUUUCUGGAAAGCUUAGUAAAUUGUCUACAACUCACUUUUAGACAUCCCAGAAUGAUUCCCAACCGAAAUAUGCUAAAACAUACAAAGUUAGCUGGCUGUCCUGGAAAAUCCAGAGAGCAAGCACUUUGCAGCAGCUACUUGUAACGUGCAUAACUUUUAAACUACUCAACCAAAUUUCAUGAAACUUGGACACGAAGUAGAUAAGCAAGUUAGCUACAAGUUUGUUAUAUACACGUUUCCCAGAAAGAAUCAUCUUCAAUUAGUUCUUAAGCAAUUGCUAUCAGCUACACAGAAUUGCUCUAGGAAAGGCAUAAAUAGCAAAAAUAAUAUUUUGCACAUAACAAGAAUUUAUCAAAGGGUCAAUCCAAAUACACCAGUAGAUACAACAUGUCUAAGAAACACUAGAAAACAUCAUGGCAAGGUCUAAACUCAUUUCUAUCAGCACCUUAUCCAUUUAUUUAAUUAUUAAGGUGAUUUAAUGAACAUGCAUCCCAACUGCUCCAAGAAUUCUAAGAACAUUACAGCAAGCUACUUAUGCUAACUCAAGGUUACUGUAAAAUUUUCAGGGCACAUGCACAUACAGAUUGUGAGAUACAAAAAUAACAAGCUAGCAAAGGCAUGCAAGGCAUAAAUGUGAAACCCUACCAAAAGGUGUCAAACAACAGAUUUCAGAUUUUUCCUAGCUUUGUUUACACAUGAGUACAACACUCAGCAAGUUUCACCACAAAAGGAGUUAUAACUUAUUUAUUAAAAAUACCACAAGAAACUCCUGUUUGAAAAAGAAAUAUUUAUAACUUCACAAUUAGACCUCCUAAAAUCAUGAUAAAUUUAUCAGAGCCUAUUCAUGUCAUAAGUAACCAUACUCUAAAUUUGCAUGGCCAUCAGAUCGACAGAUCUCAAGAUAUAAUUACCUCCUAUAUAAUCAAGAUUAAAUCAUAUCUAUUUAUUUCUGCAAAAACAUGGCAUGUUUAAUAUUUUUAAUAAAAACCAGAUUACCACCAAAACCUAGCAAAAUUAGAACCAUGUCAUUUUGAUCUAUAAAACUCGGGAUAUGAAUUUUUCAAAAACACCACAGAACCUGCUAUACAGUGAACCGGAGUGUGAGAGGGAGAGACUGACAGGUGGGAUCCGCUGACACACGGGACCCACGCGAUAGAGGGACAGAGACAGGGGAGAAGCUCGUCGCCGGCGAAUCUCGACGACGGCGAGGUCUCCGAUGGAUCAAAGGGCAUCUACGUGUUACUCUCCUCAAGGCGACACCGUUAACCUACUUCACUCGCGCUCUACUGGACCCUAGGGUGCUCGCCGUCGCGAACGGCGGAGCGGCGGUGCUGCGCGGCGUUACGCCGGCGAAUCUAGGCAACGGCGACGCGGUAGAGCUUGCGGACGAGCAAGAGCGACUCAAGACGAAGCUAUAGGAAGAAGAAUCACGGCCGGAGGUGAACCAGAGAGGUCUGGCCACGUUGCCGGUGAUCUCUGUGAACUCCGACGAGGUGGAGCUCGCGACGGAGUUGGCAAUGCGACCUCACCGGUGCUCGGCUAAGGGAAAGGAGUGGACGUCGAGGUAGAGGAAGUGGAGGCGGAGCUCUGGGCGGACUGGCUCGGCCGGAGACGCGAUGGAGCGGCCGGGAGAGCUCGCCGAGGCGAUGGCGGAGCGAAAUGGGAGGCUCUGGAGGGGUGAAUGGCGCGUCUGAGGCGUCCACUCGGUGCGUGGCGUCUUGUGGACGACGUCGGGGCUGAUAGGAGGGGUCAACGACGGUGGACGGCCGACACCUGGCCGGACACGCGGCGGCGGACGGCGACUGUCCAAACUGAAACGUUUUCUUAAUCGCCCGAUCCCGACGACUGAAACUCCAACUUCGUCGAUGUUUUACUCUCAGCUCACUCGGUGGUUUUGGCUCAAAUUUGUUCCUUGGGUUAGAGCUACACGAGAUCUACAGGUUUGCUUACAAGAUCAAAGUCUAACUCGGCCUGGAUUUCAAACUACAAGGCUCCCAAUAACCCUAUGUCGAAUCUACCGAUUCCCAGACUUAGCCAAAUUCGGCUAAGUGUAGAAACAGCACUAUUUUCGGGCAUGUAGGCCACUUUUGGUCAGGUUCCAAGCAUUUUCAUAAACCUUCAUCAACAUAACUUUUGUAGAUUAUAAAAUUUACUACAACUUUGUUUCAAGUGUCAUUUACAUGCAAGGUCUCUAAAAUCAGUUUCAUAAAACAUCUUUGAAAGGAGGUCUAGGGGGACAAUUAGGUCAACCUAGGGCUAAUCAUGACCUAGAGGCAUUUUUGGCCAAAACCUCUAACAUGAACUUUGUUCAAAAUUUUGUUCUAAACAUGAUUAAAGUAUUUUGGAAGACAAUGUACACUUGUAUGCCUUAGUCACCCAUUACAAUCAACCAUAGCAAGUCAUAUAGCAAUUCAAUCACAUAGUAUAUGUAGGAAAUGGCAUGUGAUCAUGGUAUGAUGCUCAUGAGUGAUCAUGAUAAUGCUUAUGUUAAUGCAAUGCUCAUGGUUAACAUGCAAGCUAACACUAGGAGUGUUACAAACCUGGAGAUGCCAAUGCCACAGGAGGCUUGCCUGUCACGUCAGCCACUUGAGAUGUUCUAGGACCUUUUGCCAUCAAUUCGGGAGGCAUACCAUAGCCCCACCAGUUGGGAGGAACAGUCCCUGACAUCGCCGAUGCCAAUAAAUCUGUGGCAAGUUUGAUUUGCCCAUCUGAUGUUGAUGGAUUAGUCGUCAUUGGUGUGGAUUGCGCGUCAGUCAUCCCCAAUGUGCUUGGAGGGGAAUUAACUUCUGCACCCGCAACGGCCGUGGUAGCCGAUGGAGCCGUAACCACUGAUGACCCUGGCUGAUGAUAGACAGGACCCACAUAAGAUGGUGGUACUUGUCCUUCUUUGAAAGUUCUAGCCAUAGCAUUGAAUACCAUGUUGGACAGUACACCAGACUGAUUGAUCAAGGCACGGUUAAUAGCACUGUCAACCAUGUCUUGAAGUUUACCAGGAUUGACUUCAAAAGUGACUUGCCGAGGCAUCGGCAAUGCUUCCUUCUGGAUCACCUCGCCACUCCUGUUGAUACUGAAGGAUUUCAAGCAUAGCUGCUUGUAGUCCUCCAUGGCUUUUGCCAUAGCUUGCUUCUGCUCAUCUCUGAGGUUGGCUUCCGUCACGGGGAUUGUUGAUAUUUGGGAACGCAAUAAGGAAUUGAUCCGCAAGCGCACGGAUAUCGGUGAGCAUUUCACCCGGGAAAUUAUCCAGAGUAUCGUAUUUAUUUUUUUACCACUAGGAGAAAGAGUGCAUCUGACUAACCGGUCUAUUACUACUAACCUUUAGGCACAAAGAAUGUCUUUCGAUGUGAGUGAUAAAUAGAGAAGACUGCAACUGUAGUCUCCUUCUAACCUUGGUAAGGAUGAUCUACUGUUCUAAUGGGGAGGCUAACGGAAUCUAGACACCACAAAGGAUGUUCGACCCACACCUAUAAACCCUAUCCUUCCUGCUAACGAGAUGUGAUCUACAAAGGUAGCUCGGAAAUGUCACGUUCCUCACUACUACCACGGUCCAGCUAGUCAGGGAAUAUCUAUGAGUACCCCAGCCUAAACACCACGUUUACGCCAGCAAUGAUUACUCUAAACUCUACGCGAAGAGAUUAAAGUAAACUCAUAAACCAUAAGAACAAUAAAACAAGAACUUACUAGAAUUUAGAAGUCGAAUUACUGAAGAAUCCUAGGAGCAAGCUUCGGGUUAGGAGAACUUGAUCCCGCAGGUACAAGCUUGGAGUAGACACCGACAGGCCGGGCUUCCUCCACUCUACACCUCCACUCUAUCUCUCUCAAUCUAGUAGAAACUAGAAGAUCUAUUUCUACCUUACAUUGAUUGCUAAGCCUAAAAAGAAAUAUUAAUUAGAGAAGAGGUUUUCCUUCGAGGGCACCCCUCAGUCUCUAUGAUAAUUUCUUCAUGUCUUCCAGGGGCCAGGGGGGCCUCGCUUAUAUAGUCCUCCCCUUCUAUGCGUUUUUGGGUCGAUAGCCGAGGUGGUACUAUGUUUUUCUUGAUCCAAUAGGUUGGUGGAAUAUCCCGAGCGAAGGAGUCCUGAAUUGGCUCCAAAAGGGGGGGCGGGCGCCCAGGCUUCCAGGGCGGGCGCCCUGGGCCUGGCCCAGCUUCGCCUCCGCUUCGGUCUCGUGGCUUCUGGAGUCUUCUAGAUGAUGUAAAAUUGCGCGGUGCGUUGAUAUCUCUAUGUAAUCCUGACAUGUGGGCCUUUCUUCCUUAUUUCCUAAUAACCCCCUGCAGAAAUAGAUAAACAACAAAACUCGUGGAAUUCUGUCAGAUCAAACCCUAAUUCUAUGUGCUGGUUGCAUAUUGGUCCUUUCUCUUGUUUAUUUGAUAAUUAAAAUUGAUACUUAAGAACCGUCAACAGGGAUAACGUUCUCCAAGUCGAAAUCGUUGUUCGACAUGUUGAUCUUGAUCAUGAAUUUCUAUCCCACUGGGCGUGCCAAAAGAUGUGUUGGUGCAAAUGCUGAUCUACAAACACAAAGGGCUAAUACCCGAUCUAAACGUUAAGGCGUGCCAGCCGAUUUGACCUUACAAUCGACAAAGGUGGUACCUCGAACACUUUGGUCCCGACAACAACGAUGCGCCCUGAUGUCAUGGCCAAGAGGUGCUCACGCAGAACUUGAGAACACGCCGAGUUUGACUCGACGAAUUCCUAAGAACUCGUAGUAAAAUGAAAAUAUGAUGAAGUCGCCAAAAAAGUAGAUGCUGGAAUAUGUGUAAAAACUUGUGUUUGAUUGAUUGUUAGAUGUCUCAUUACAUUGCCACAGGGUCUAUAUUUAUACCCUGUUUAAAAUAACUACAACCAGACACGACUAGAACUCGAAUCCCAAAUUAAACAGAAUCCGUAUACAAACGAACUCUAAUAACUAAGGAAAUCAUUAAACUAUCCUCCGCAACCGAUCGGUACACUGCCACGAGUCAAUCGGCAAUCCUUGCGCUUUUCUUCAUAAGCAACGGCAGACCGCCUAUUAUAGCCAUCGGCAACCGUCAGCACAGGUCAUCGGCACGAACGCAUCACCACUCCUGGACUUGGUCAUAUUCGGUUGUUUUCCCAUCGGCACCAACCUUCAUCGGCAACUCCCCUGUAGACUAGUCACCAUUGCCCCAUCUGUCGAUCUACACUUCAUUAACUCCAGGUGCGUAUCCAAAGAUACAUGUCCAAAAACAGUGUCAACACACUUUUAUAAGCUUCUCCUUGGUUCUGGCGUUCACAUAAAUAAAGAGAUAAACAUGUAUGAUUUAUAACUCCAAAUUAACCAACCCAACUGAUUCAACAUGUUUUGGUCCUUUAAUCUUUGUUAAUAGUACUACCUCUAUGAUCCCACACUUCUAAUCAUAUGAGCUAAAAUGUUGCACAUUCAAUCUUUGGGAAGAUAUAAAGAAAAAGACAUAUACAUAGAUAGAUUAUAUUUUCAUAAGGUUGAGCGAUCUGAUUUGACAAAUGUUUUAAAAGCUACACUCAUGAUCUUAUUAUCCAUCAACUUUGUCUUGCUCACUAUGCUUAAGGUUAGAGAAGAACAAAUACACUUUUGGUUUUAUUGGUGUUUUCCACCAACAGGGCCCAUGCACUUGAUCUCUACCUUGUCUCUAUGAGCAGGUACACUUCGAGCAAAACAUGGUGGAGUUUUAUAACUCCCAGACUCCACCAAGUGAAGGACCUGGAUCUACGAGCACAAACACACUGAGCAGGAUGCUGCCAACGCCGCACUUCGAACUGCUGGGCAAACGAAGAACAUGGGUGACACCAUAUCACGAGGUCCAGACGUCAAGGUCCACACCGGAAUCAAAUGACGCACCUAAAGAAUGAACACGGUGAGAAGUCUUGUUCAGAAGACUUAAAACAUCGAACCCUCGCCGGAAGGUAAAAUCGGUAGUUAUCCAUAUUUAUCCUUUCUGCAUUCCCUUUACCCUUAAAUCAUUUACUUUCCUUAAAUGGCUUGUUAGUUAUUCAUGCUAUCUUGAAAAGAAAAUAAAAAUGUUAAAAAUACUAAGCGCCAUGUGAGUAUGCUCGUGGCAUAAAACCCAUAAGUACAUUCACUGUGGUGGCGUAAAAAUAAAAUAAAUAUAUUCCUGUCCUAUAGAAAUGAAAAUAUAAAAAUAAAUUUAUGAUCCUACCAAAGAGAGUAAUAUUUAUUAGAGGAAGCUCAACAUGAUAAAGGCAAAGAGAUUUUAUGCUAACACUUAACUAGUUCCACAAAGCUUUGUUGUCUAUUUGAGCUCCACAGAAUUCAAGGAUCAAAGAAGACUAGCAGACGGUGGACAUCUUAAUCGCUGUCAGGGUGCUGCUGACAUUCAAAUACACAUCCGCCACCUGCUAGCUACAUCAGAAGAAAUUACGUCAAAAUCCAGCUUGGAGGAGAGCACCCCCAUUUAUCCAGCUAAGUGUUUCUACUCGCGUUUAUACUUUACUCAAAUAAUAAAAAGAUGCACAAUCAUAAAAAACCCAAAUAAUGAUUUUGUGCUUAUAUCUUUGCUUAGUUUGCUAAAUAAAUAAAUAAAUAAAUAAAGUGUCUAUGCCAAAUUGAACUCCAAUGAUAAACUCUCACAUGGAAAUGAUGAAUAGUUGCUCUACCAUGACUAGUUCUCAAAAUUAAAAUCCCUCUCAAGUUUAGGCAUGACUGUUAUGAAUUAAGAUUUGCUCUAAACCUGAACUUGUGGGAAGAGUACUUGAUCUAAAGUCUAAGUCGUUAACGGAUACGAUAGAUAUGGGAAGGUUGAGCUGCUAUUUAUCUAUUCCAAGAGUUGCUAGAAUUCUAGAGAAUUUUAUCUUUGAAAAUUUUUAAUGUUGCAUGAUGAGUUACUGUAUGAAGAGAGUUUAAAAUCCUACCAUAGCCAUAUAUACAUGCUUAUUAGACUAUGAACCAUACAUGUGUGUAGACCCUUAGGAGCUUGUCAUGCGGUUAAAAUCAAGAUCCACUUGCACGUUCACUCAUACAUGCUGCUUCUACUCCGGAAGUACGCAUCUACAUACAUCCACUCAUUUCCAUCUUCAGAUUUACCCAAAAUUAUUCUACUCCUAUCCAGGAGAGAAUAGCCAAAAAUAUUAUCCUAUCCCUGUUAUUCCCCGUGAAAUAAAUGCUCGAGAUAUUUUGGUUACUACCACUUGCUACAUUAUUCCAGGAGGGUGAGUGCUCUGAAAAAAAAGUGAAUACGAGGAAAUAAAAAGGGGCAAGUGCCCGAAACCUCGACGAAAAGAAAAAGUGAGACGAGAUGUAAAAAUGGACAAGUGUCCGACAGUAGAAUUACGGGUACAAGAUACCCACCUGAGAGAAAAGAAAAAGAAAAUAUAGAGCAUCUCAUUCUCCUCAAAAAGCUUCAAAGUGCAAGAAAGGUAUGUAUCCCCUCAAAAGAGCAAAAGUAGAAUUAGACUUUCACCAUUCAUUCGCCACACAUGCACAUCUUGAUUUGACUUAUUGACUUGUUUCUCUGGAUCCAUGGUUUGACUAUGCAAUAAAUGUCUUGUAAGUAUGUAUUAGCUGUCUCCCACCUAUGAGCUCCAGAUAUCAAAGCCUUAUUAGAGUAGGAUG